AUGAAGCCGGAAUUGCUAGUAGUGGCAGGUCAGCAUACUGCCGUGAAUACGUUCCCGGGCCCUUGUACACACCGCCCGUCACACCAUGAGAGUUGGGAAUACCCGAAGCCUGUGAGCUAACUUUUAGAGGCAGCAGUCGAAGGUAGAAUCAAUGAUUGGGGUGAAGUCGUAACAAGGUACC
Molecule: ribosomal RNA, 181 nt
Filed under: uncultured bacterium
Lineage: Bacteria
Description: partial 16S ribosomal RNA
Rfam family: Bacterial small subunit ribosomal RNA
Source: RNAcentral